GAUGAACGCUGGCGGCGUGCCUAACACAUGCAAGUCGAGCGGAAGCACGAGAAGCUCUCGUCUCUGCUGUUGGCGGCGGGCGGGUGAGUAACAUGUAGAUAACCUACCUAUAAGACUGGGAUAACUUCGGGAGACCGGAUAUAAUACCGGAGCAUAUUUUGAACGGGAGGGUUCAAAGGAGCUACAGGGUUUUGCUGACACUAGUAGAUGAUUCCGCGUUGCAUUGGUUAGUUGGUAAGGUAACGGCUCACCAAGGCGACGAUGCGUAGCUGACCGGAGAGGAUGAUCAGCCACACGGGAACUGAGACACGGUCCAGACUCCUACGGGAGGCAGCAGUGGGGAAUAUUGGACAAAGGGCGAAAGCCUGAUCCAGCCAUGCCGCGUGGGUGAAGAAGGCGUUCGGAUUGUAAAGCACUUUUAGUGGGGAGGAAAAGCAGUAGGUUAAUACCUGGCUGUUUUGACGGUACCCAAAGAAGAAGCACCGGCUAACUUCGUG
Molecule: ribosomal RNA, 497 nt
Filed under: uncultured bacterium
Lineage: Bacteria
Description: partial 16S ribosomal RNA
Rfam family: Bacterial small subunit ribosomal RNA
Source: RNAcentral